This 132-nucleotide small RNA is filed under the name Salmonella enterica subsp. enterica serovar Oranienburg. RNAcentral describes it as "RtT sRNA". It matches the Rfam family "RtT RNA". From Rfam's summary of the family: This family represents a bacterial cis-regulatory element known as RtT RNA. The exact function of RtT is unknown although it is thought that it may be involved in changing the cellular response in relation to amino acid starvation. Lineage: Bacteria; Pseudomonadati; Pseudomonadota; Gammaproteobacteria; Enterobacterales; Enterobacteriaceae. RNAcentral also lists the same sequence under 47 other names. The record is from RNAcentral.
AUAUCUCUCUGUACGGGAAGGAUGAGAAGCUUCGACUAAGGUUCGAUUCGAGCGAAAGCGAGAAAGCGUUGCCAACGGCAACGACCCGAAGGGCGAAGCGCGCAGCGCUGAGUCAUCCUUCCCCCACCACCA